Molecule: non-coding RNA, 477 nt
Organism: Pelobates cultripes (western spadefoot toad)
Lineage: Eukaryota; Metazoa; Chordata; Amphibia; Anura; Pelobatidae
Source: the annotation of a GenBank genome assembly
UGGUCUCAAAAACCUGUAUCUACCUGAGAUACCCUGUAUCUAUCUUAGAUACUAACCUGGGUUACCAAAACCCUAUAAUAAACCGGAGACCUCUUAUGGUCUCAAAAACCUGUAUCUAUCUUAGAUACUAACCUGGGUUACCAAAACCCUAUAUAUAUUUAGACCAAAUGUCUAAUAAACCGGAGACCUAUUUACAGUCUCAAUAUAACUAGAGUCCUUACACCUUUCCUAUCUACUGGAUACAGUCUUACUGAACCAAAGGGGGGUCAUAGACAAUCAGCGUCAAAUAAGACACAAAAAGGCUACUCACCGCAAAUGGUUUUGCUGAUCCAACUUCUAUCCCACUUCUAGACACCAAGCUGAAAGGGUUAAUGUUGUAAUGGACUCUAAUCCCCUCGGUUCUCGAUCCCUCGGUCACCAUAAUCAACGUUGAUGGAGAAUCAUUGUAAGCAAUAACACACGGACAACAGCUUUACA